UGUGGCGCUGCCCGGAGCCGGCCCGCAGCGCCAGCCCGUUCUGGCCACCGCCAGGGACAGGCUGCUCACAGCACGCACGUAGUGCAGAAUGAAGCUAAUUUACCAAAUUCUGUGACAGGUUAUCCCAGCGCUCCUUUCAAUCUGAAGUUAAAACCAUGGCAUUUAAACAUAGAUCCUGAACUUGAACCACUGAAAGGAAAGCAAAAGGACUCUGACAGGAG
RNAcentral lists this long non-coding RNA (221 nucleotides) under Cyanistes caeruleus (blue tit). Its description in RNAcentral is "lncRNA (ENSCCEG00000019319.1)". The record is from RNAcentral. Lineage: Eukaryota; Metazoa; Chordata; Aves; Passeriformes; Paridae.